This 1300-nucleotide unclassified non-coding RNA is filed under the name Bombus terrestris (buff-tailed bumblebee). Its description in RNAcentral is "misc RNA ENSBTSG00005025983.1". The record is from RNAcentral. Lineage: Eukaryota; Metazoa; Arthropoda; Insecta; Hymenoptera; Apidae.
AGAUGAAAUACGUACUCUCCGCACAGAUCGAAAUUCUGCAGUGAAGGGGAAGCUGCAACGACUCAAUCCAUUUCUGGACAAGGACGAGAUAUUGCGAGUCGGAGGCCGACUCAGUCAUUCACCAAUGCCCUUCACUCAGAAACACCCAAUCAUUCUACCCAAAUCCUCAGUUACAGCACUCAUAAUCGAGCAUGAACACCUCCUAAAUCUCCACUCCGGAACUCAAGCUACCUUAUAUGCCUUGAGGAGAUCUUACUGGCCUAUCGACGGCCGUAGUCAAGUUUGGAGCACGCUGAAGAAUUAAAGCAGUCCACCUCGAGCUGGUCACCGAUCUCACUAGCGAGGCCUUCAUUGCUGCUCUGCGAAGAUUCAUCGCUCGCCGAGGAUUCUGUGUUACAAUUUAUUCUGACAACGGCACCAACUUCGUUGGCGCCAACAAUGAAUUACGAGAGCUCCAAAACCUCCUGCAGUCCGACGAUCAUAAGGUAAAGAUUCAGUCCUUUUUAGCCGAUCGACGAAUCGAAUGGCACUUCAUUCCUCCCAACUCACCUCACUUCGGCGGGCUGUGGGAGGCUGCGGUGAAGUCCUUCAAACGACAUCUAAGACGUGUCGCAGGUAACGAGCUCUUAACAUACGAAAAUUUGAACACACUGAUCAUUGAAAUCGAGUCUAUCCUCAACUCCCGUCCUCUGACUCCAAUAUCAUCUGACCCAAACGAUCUUCUUGUCCCUACUCCCGGUCACUUCCUCAUCGGAGAUGCACUAACAAGCUUUCGAGAACGAGAUUUCCGAGACACUCCAUCCAAUUGUCUCUCCAGCUGGCAACAUAUUCAAAGGGUCAAACAACAUUUCUGGCGCCGCUGGCAUCGAGAAUACCUGAACGAGCUGAACAUCCGAAAUAAAUGGAGCAAGGGCAGUCACGACAUCCGAGUAGGCACCGUAGUAGUCCUCAGGGAGGAUAACGUACCAUCCAUGCAAUGGCCUUUGGGCCGCGUGAUCAAGGUCCAUCCAGGAGUCGACGGAAUCAUACGGACCGCCAUCAUGCAGACGGCAACAACUACCCUGGAUCGUGGCGUCAAAAGACUGGUCCCCUUACCCAUUCACCCAGAUCCAGACGAGUCCGACCACCCACACGGAGCGAAGGAGAUUCGCCAGCGACGCACCUGACUCCACACCAUAUCAUUUGAUCGGUACCCUCUCAACGGGGGGAGGAUGUUACGCCACGAGGCUUAACACAGGCUGUAUUUUCUAACCGUCACUCGCGGCCCUACAAUGUCUCAGUCAGAUCGUCUUAUCUGACC